RNAcentral lists this ribosomal RNA (253 nucleotides) under uncultured bacterium. Its description in RNAcentral is "partial 16S ribosomal RNA". It matches the Rfam family "Bacterial small subunit ribosomal RNA", at positions 524 to 776 of the family's 1533-position model. The record is from RNAcentral.
UACGGCGGGCGCAAGCGUUGUUCGGAAUCACUGGGCGUAAAGCGCGUGUAGGCGGCUUGGCAAGUCGGAUGUGAAAUCCCGAGGCUCAACCUCGGAACUGCACUCGAAACUGCCUGGCUCGAGUCCCGGAGAGGGUGGCGGAAUUCACGGUGUAGGGGUGAAAUCCGUAGAUAUCGGGAGGAACACCAGUGGCGAAGGCGGCCACCUGGACGGUGACUGACGCUGAGACGUGAAAGCGUGGGGAGCAAACAGG